GAUGAACGCUGGCGGCGUGCUUAACACAUGCGAGUCGAACGAUGAAGCCGGAGCUUGCUCCGGUGGAUUAGUGGCGAACGGGUGAGUAACACGUGAGCAAUCUGCCCUUGACUCUGGGAUAACUGCGGGAAACUGUAGCUAAUACCGGAUACGACACCUUGGGGCAUCCCAGGGUGUGGAAAGAAUUUCGGUCAAGGAUGAGCUCGCGGCCUAUCAGCUAGUUGGUGAGGUAAUGGCUCACCAAGGCGACGACGGGUAGCCGGCCUGAGAGGGUGACCGGCCACACUGGAACUGAGACACGGUCCAGACUCCUACGGGAGGCAGCAGUGGGGAAUAUUGCACAAUGGGCGCAAGCCUGAUGCAGCAACGCCGCGUGAGGGAUGACGGCCUUCGGGUUGUAAACCUCUUUUAGUAGGGAAGAAGCGAAAGUGACGGUACCUGCAGAAAAAGCACCGGCUAACUACGUGCCAGCAGCCGCCGUAA
This 483-nucleotide ribosomal RNA is filed under the name uncultured bacterium. RNAcentral's name for it is "partial 16S ribosomal RNA". It matches the Rfam family "Bacterial small subunit ribosomal RNA", at positions 28 to 523 of the family's 1533-position model. The record is from RNAcentral.